CUCAGGGAAGCACAGGCCAGCAGGACUGCAGCAUCAGGCAGCUCUGAGUCCCUCGGUGCCUCCUGAGCUGAGCAGCAGCAGUGGCACUGUCCCUGAUGUGCCCUCUGGGGAACAGCCUGUCACGUCACAUCUGGGGGUUUUGUCCUGCGUUUGGCCUUCACGAAUUAUUUGGAUUCAUAACGUAGGCAGAGAGUCUGGUAACACAAUCUGCAUUCCAGUGACUAAUAUCAUCCAAACUCUUCAGUGACUAGUCUCAUCCAAAAAAGGUCUGUUCUUUGAAGUCAGCAGAUACUGGGUCAGACUUUAAAGGGAAUUCAUGCAUAAUUAUAUUAUAUAAAAAGGUAAGGUUCCUUUUAAUUUUUAUAUGAAUACCUCAAUGACCAACACCAUGGAUCCCUUUUAUUUUUUUUGGGUGGGGUGGGGCAGGGGGAGGGAAUAAGAGAUAAAAGUAUACCUAGUGGGGGAAAAGGAUUUCCACCAUAUGAAACAUUUCAAGGUUUCUACAUCCCUUUUAAAUAUGAACCAGUGUGAAAAAAAUUUGGAUUUUCAGUAUCUGAAAUGCAAUUUGGAAAAUGCUCUCAAGCUUGAAAUAGCUCAUUUAAGAAACUUUAAUGCCUUUUUUUGACUCUGCUUUAAUAUGAAGUAUAUUUCAAUUUUUUUAUUUUUACUCUAUUAAAUCCUAGGAAUUGGUCUGUAUCAAAAGAGAUAUAAGCACGCAUUUGAAGAAGUGCUUAAUAGUUCUUCAUAUGACAGCUCUGGCUUUCUCAGUAGCAGCUUGUGCUAAACAUUCUGGUUAAGCUGACACAGAGAAACAUAACGGCACCUGUCAUAGGAGCAAGAAGUUCUUCUGGUGCUCCUGAAAUAUCCCUUCCUGGCUACAAUUUUUAGAGGAGCCGUGCAACAACUGCCACUGCUUCUUCACCUCAUCAGACAGGACUCCUCAUCUCCCAUGAAGCAGCCUGUAAAAGCCUACUUUUUGCUGCUCUGUGGAGCAGUCAGGCUGAGAAACCUCUGCAGUCCUCUGGGGUUAAGGAAGAUGGUGUGAAAAAGAAGCCACAGAAGGAACACCUGUGCAACUAGCAGGAGAAAAUAUUGUUUUGGGAAUAGAAGAAUUAAUUGCUGGCUGUUGUGGCUGUGUGGAAAAUUAGGUCACCCUAAUUUUUCAUACUAUUUUAAGACCAGGUAACUAAUCACAAAGCAGUAGUGUAAUAAGGUCAGAGAGUUUUUGUGGGGCUGUUAGACAAGUCAUAGACACCUGUACAAGUGGGAGAGCUCCCAGGAUGUGUGAGCUCAGCAAGGGUUUUGCUCAAUAUCCUACCAUUUCAACACUUCAUUUUGUGCUUUUUCUGAUUAAUCACAAAAUCUCAUCCAGCUGACUUCCAAAGCCAACUGUAUCAGGUAGUCCUCUGUUUGUUCCUUAAACACAGAGCCUCUCCCUGUCCCUCUCCAAUGGAAAUUCUCCGAGAAAUGUCUGAUGUGAACCAUGCCAAGGUCCUACCAGGCUGAAUUUCUUGCUACAAUUUUAGUAUUUCUCUGGAUUUGACUUGUUCCUUAUAAUGACAAUACAAAACCUCUGCCCUGCCUUUUCUCCUUGACAUGUAGAAGUUUGAACACUACUGUAUCUUACUGGAUUAUUUUCUCCUUCUUUUUUUUUUUUCUUUAUCUUUUCUUCUUUUUUUUAAUGCUGUUUUGACAGCCAGUCUAUUUUUUUACCUCCUUUUGAAGAAGCUACUCAAAAGGGCAGGAGCACAUGAGCUAACUUCAGGGAUGGUAAAGGAAAGGUAUUUUUAGAAUAUGGGGAACACAAAAAAGAAAUGGUUUAUUUAUUGUAAAAAGCUGGAGGUCCUUAGCUUUGAGGCAGGCUGGUGGCAUGUCUGCCACACUUAUGACGGACACUUCAAAGUGCAGAGAUGUUCUACAGCACUUCAAGGAAUUUCCCACUCUGCAAAUAAUGCUGCAGAAGAAACACUCAAGUACAAGCAGCACAUUGCAGAAAAUCCAGGUGGGAUGUUUAACAAACUUCCAGUUUUAUGAAGUAGGGGAAUUCCAUUAGGAGUGUGGACUAUUUGCUUUAACACAAUCAUUCAUUGGGAUAAGACAAGUAGAACUUGCUCUGUAGGUUUGUAAUUGCUGAAAUUAAUGUGUGGCUCAUCACUCUCUGCAGUACUAUACCAAUUUACUGUGCUCUUUUAUCUCAAUUACUUUCUGUGUGUGUCUUAUAUUUCUCUAUUAAACUUCAGUAAUUGUAACACUGUGGUAAUAACAUUGACAUACUGAGUAUCAUAUGAUGGGCUAUUUUACAUUAUUCUGACUGCCUUAUUUACAUUAUAAUUAUUAGUGUCUAUAUAAAUGUGAUUCAUUGAACUAAUAAAGA
Long non-coding RNA from Onychostruthus taczanowskii (white-rumped snowfinch), 2374 nucleotides. RefSeq lists it as uncharacterized. The transcript is spliced from 3 exons. Lineage: Eukaryota; Metazoa; Chordata; Aves; Passeriformes; Passeridae. The record is from RefSeq and is a predicted model, not a curated record.